AGGGAAUUUUCCGCAAUGGGCGAAAGCCUGACGGAGCAAUGCCGCGUGGAGGGUGAAGGCCUAUUGGGUUGUUAACUCCUUUUCCCAGAGAGGAAACUUGACAGUAUCUGGGGAAUAAGCAUCGGCUAACUCCGUGCCAGCAGCCGCGGUAAUACGGGGGAUGCAAGCGUUAUCCGGAAUUAUUGGGCGUAAAGAGUUCGUAGGUGGCUGUUGAAGCCUACUGUUAAAAUUCAAGGCUUCACCUUGUAUCAGCAGUGGGAACCCAACAGCUAGAGUUUGGUAGGGGUAGGGGGAAUUCCCGGUGUAGCGGUGAAAUGCGUAGAUAUCGGGAAGAACACCGGAGGCGAAGG
This 350-nucleotide ribosomal RNA is filed under the name uncultured bacterium. RNAcentral's name for it is "bacterial SSU rRNA". It matches the Rfam family "Bacterial small subunit ribosomal RNA", at positions 356 to 721 of the family's 1533-position model. The record is from RNAcentral.